This 122-nucleotide ribosomal RNA is filed under the name Balamuthia mandrillaris. The record is from RNAcentral. Lineage: Eukaryota; Discosea; Longamoebia; Balamuthiidae.
GGAUAUGGCCAUACUGCGGAGAAAGCACCGCUUCCCGUCCGAUCAGCGAAGUUAAGCUCCGCCAGGCGAUGUUAGUACUGGGGUGGGUGACCACCCGGGAAUCCAUCGUGCUGUAUCCUCCC